AUUAACAGGAUUAGAUACCCUGGUAGUCCACGCCCUAAACGAUGUCUACUAGUUGUCGGGUUUUAAUUAACUUGGUAACGCAGCUAACGCGUGAAGUAGACCGCCUGGGGAGUACGGUCGCAAGAUUAAAACUCAAAGGAAUUGACGGGGACCCGCACAAGCGGUGGAUGAUGUGGAUUAAUUCGAUGCAACGCGAAAAACCUUACCUACCCUUGACAUGUACGGAAGGCCGAAGAGAUUUGGCUGUGCUCGAAAGAGAACCGUAACACAGGUGCUGCAUGGCUGUCGUCAGCUCGUGUCGUGAGAUGUUGGGUUAAGUCCCGCAACGAGCGCAACCCUUGUCAUUAGUUGCUACGAAAGGGCACUCUAAUGAGACUGCCGGUGACAAACCGGAGGAAGGUGGGGAUGACGUCAAGUCCUCAUGGCCCUUAUGGGUAGGGCUUCACACGUCAUACAAUGGUACAUACAGAGCGCCGCCAACCCGCGAGGGGGAGCUAAUCGCAGAAAGUGUAUCGUAGUCCGGAUUGUAGUCUGCAACUCGACUGCAAGAAGUUGGAAUCGCUAGUAAUCGCGGAUCAGCAUGUCGCGGUGAAUACGUUCCCGGGUCUUGUACACACCGCCCGUCACACCAUGGGAGCGGGUUUUACCAGAAGUAGGUAGCUUAACCGCAAGGAGGGCGCUUACCACGGUAGGAUUCGUGACUGGGGUGAAGUCGUAACAAGGUAACCGUA
RNAcentral lists this ribosomal RNA (731 nucleotides) under uncultured endophytic bacterium. Its description in RNAcentral is "bacterial SSU rRNA". It matches the Rfam family "Bacterial small subunit ribosomal RNA", at positions 768 to 1504 of the family's 1533-position model. The record is from RNAcentral.